Molecule: ribosomal RNA, 252 nt
Filed under: uncultured bacterium
Lineage: Bacteria
Description: partial 16S ribosomal RNA
Rfam family: Bacterial small subunit ribosomal RNA
Source: RNAcentral
AAUCAACCUACCCUUCAGAGGGGGACAACAGUUGGAAACGACUGCUAAUACCGCAUACGAUCUAAACUCGGCAUCGAGGAUGGAUGAAAGGUGGCCUCUAUUUAUAAGCUAUCACUGAAGGAGGGGAUUGCGUCUGAUUAGCUAGUUGGAGGGGUAACGGCCCACCAAGGCGAUGAUCAGUAGCCGGUCUGAGAGGAUGAACGGCCACAUUGGGACUGAGACACGGCCCAGACUCCUACGGGAGGCAGCAUG